GAGUUUGAUCAUGGCUCAGAUUGAACGCUGGCGGCAUGCCUUACACAUGCAAGUCGAACGGCAGCACGGGGGCAACCCUGGUGGCGAGUGGCGAACGGGUGAGUAAUGCAUCGGAACGUGCCCUGAAGUGGGGGAUAACGUAGCGAAAGUUACGCUAAUACCGCAUAUUCUGUGAGCAGAAAAGCAGGGGAUCUUAGGACCUUGUGCUUUGGGAGCGGCCGAUGUCGGAUUAGCUAGUUGGUGAGGUAAAGGCUCACCAAGGCGACGAUCCGUAGCGGGUCUGAGAGGAUGAUCCGCCACACUGGAACUGAGACACGGUCCAGACUCCUACGGGAGGCAGCAGUGGGGAAUUUUGGACAAUGGGCGCAAGCCUGAUCCAGCCAUGCCGCGUGAGUGAAGAAGGCCUUCGGGUUGUAAAGCUCUUUCGGCGGGGAAGAAAUAGCGUGGGUUAAUACCCUGCGUUGAUGACGGUACCCGCAUAAGAAGCACCGGCUAACUACGUGCCAGCAGCCGCGGUAAUACGUAGGGUGCGAGCGUUAAUCGGAAUUACUGGGCGUAAAGCGUGCGCAGGCGGUUGUAUAAGUCAGAUGUGGAAUCCCCGGGCUCAACCUGGGAACUGCAUUUGAGACUGUACGGCUAGAGUUUGGCAGAGG
RNAcentral lists this ribosomal RNA (653 nucleotides) under uncultured bacterium. RNAcentral's name for it is "bacterial SSU rRNA". It matches the Rfam family "Bacterial small subunit ribosomal RNA", at positions 9 to 657 of the family's 1533-position model. The record is from RNAcentral.